CCCAAUCCUAUAAUCUUCCAUACUUUUCUAUCAAACUCAUCAACUGAUAUCUCAUGAACUGGAGUCUAUUAUCAUUAAUCCAAUCCCAGAAUCAAUUGGAGGGUGAAAACAUUACUUUUUUGGAACCCUCCUUUGAGUUCUUGUAGAAAUCUCUUGAAGAUCUAAGAAUUUCAUGUGUAGGUUCAUCAAUACUAGUGUUAAAAUGGUGGAAUUCAGACAAAGUUAAUGGGAAUUCUUACUUUAAAGACGGGAGGAGUUGUAGGUCUUGGGAUAGGGGAGGAAAACCCGAAAAUUUGUCCAAAGGAAAUGGGGGAAGUGGACCCCCGAAUUUUCUUAUAAAG
RNAcentral lists this long non-coding RNA (341 nucleotides) under Nicotiana benthamiana. RNAcentral's name for it is "long non-coding RNA (NBEN_LNC042663)". Lineage: Eukaryota; Viridiplantae; Streptophyta; Magnoliopsida; Solanales; Solanaceae. The record is from RNAcentral.